AUGAUCGUCUACUUUUACUACUAC
This 24-nucleotide non-coding RNA is filed under the name Arabidopsis thaliana (thale cress). The record is from RNAcentral. Lineage: Eukaryota; Viridiplantae; Streptophyta; Magnoliopsida; Brassicales; Brassicaceae.